Molecule: transfer RNA, 77 nt
Filed under: Pteropus alecto (black flying fox)
Lineage: Eukaryota; Metazoa; Chordata; Mammalia; Chiroptera; Pteropodidae
Rfam family: tRNA
About the family: Transfer RNA (tRNA) molecules are approximately 80 nucleotides in length. Their secondary structure includes four short double-helical elements and three loops (D, anti-codon, and T loops). Further hydrogen bonds mediate the characteristic L-shaped molecular structure. tRNAs have two regions of fundamental functional importance: the anti-codon, which is responsible for specific mRNA codon recognition, and the 3' end, to which the tRNAs corresponding amino acid is attached (by aminoacyl-tRNA synthetases). tRNAs cope with the degeneracy of the genetic code in two manners: having more than one tRNA (with a specific anti-codon) for a particular amino acid; and 'wobble' base-pairing, i.e. permitting non-standard base-pairing at the 3rd anti-codon position.
Source: Rfam by way of RNAcentral
GGCUCCAUAGUGUAGUGGUUAGCACGUCUGCUUUACACGCAGAAGAAGGUCCUGGGUUCGUGCCCCAGGUGGAGCCA